This is a non-coding RNA of Pocillopora verrucosa, 73 nucleotides long. The record is from the annotation of a RefSeq genome assembly. NCBI's taxonomy places the organism in Eukaryota, Metazoa, Cnidaria, Anthozoa, Scleractinia, Pocilloporidae.
GGCUUGUUAGCUCAGUUGGUAGAGUGCUGCACCAGUAUUGUAGAGGUCAUGGGUUCAAAUCCCGUAUGGGCCU